CCUACGGGAGGCAGCAGUGGGGAAUAUUGCACAAUGGGGGAAACCCUGAUGCAGCGACGCCGCGUGAGUGAAGAAGUAUCUCGGUAUGUAAAGCUCUAUCAGCAGGGAAGAAAAUGACGGUACCUGAUUAAGAAGCCCCGGCUAACUACGUGCCAGCAGCCGCGGUAAUACGGAGGGGGCAAGCGUUAUCCGGAUUUACUGGGGGUAAAGGGAGCGUAGACGGCAGCACAAGUCUGGAGUGAAAUGCCGGGGCUUAACCCCGGAACUGCUUUGGAAACUGUGCAGCUAGAGUGCAGGAGAGGUAAGUGGAAUUCCUAGUGUAGCGGUGAAAUGCGUAGAUAUUAGGAGGAACACCAGUGGCGAAGGCGGCUUACUGGACUGUAACUGACGUUGAGGCUCGAAAGCGUGGGGAGCGAACAGGAUUAGAUACCCUGGUAGUC
Molecule: ribosomal RNA, 440 nt
Filed under: uncultured bacterium
Lineage: Bacteria
Description: partial 16S ribosomal RNA
Rfam family: Bacterial small subunit ribosomal RNA
Source: RNAcentral